AAAUUGAAGAGUUUGAUCAUGGCUCAGAUUAAACGCUGGCGGCAGGCCUAACACAUGCAAGUCGAACGGUAACAGGAAGCAGCUUGCUGCUUCGCUGACGAGUGGCGGACGGGUGAGUAAUGUCUGGGAAACUGCCUGAUGGAGGGGGAUAACUACUGGAAACGGUGGCUAAUACCGCAUAACGUCGCAAGACCAAAGAGGGGGACCUUCGGGCCUCUUGCCAUCAGAUGUGCCCAGAUGGGAUUAGCUUGUUGGUGAGGUAACGGCUCACCAAGGCGACGAUCCCUAGCUGGUCUGAGAGGAUGACCAGCCACACUGGAACUGAGACACGGUCCAGACUCCUACGGGAGGCAGCAGUGGGGAAUAUUGCACAAUGGGCGCAAGCCUGAUGCAGCCAUGCCGCGUGUAUGAAGAAGGCCUUCGGGUUGUAAAGUACUUUCAGCGGGGAGGAAGGUGUUGUGGUUAAUAACC
This 471-nucleotide ribosomal RNA is filed under the name Salmonella enterica subsp. enterica serovar Give. RNAcentral describes it as "bacterial SSU rRNA". It matches the Rfam family "Bacterial small subunit ribosomal RNA", at positions 1 to 468 of the family's 1533-position model. Lineage: Bacteria; Pseudomonadati; Pseudomonadota; Gammaproteobacteria; Enterobacterales; Enterobacteriaceae. The record is from RNAcentral.